AGGAGCCAGAGAGCGAGAGAGAGAGAGAGAGAGAGAGAGAGUAGGAGUGACUAGAGGAUAGAGAGAAAGAGACAGCGAGGAAGAAAGACUGGCCUGAUCGAUCGUAGGACCGCGAGCUCUUAACAAGAAAAAUGGGAACAUGGCAGUACUUUUAAAGCAAACUACUAGCCCAAGUCGUGUAUAGACGAUCUAGUGAUGGCAUCAGCAUGCUGGGUUUAUUUCCACACAGAUUUCUUGGAUUCAUGUGAAGUUAAACUUAUUUGAACAGGUCACCGGAUGGAGGACUCCUGGGCUGACAAUCUGAUUCGAAUAACACUUUUGCUCGUCUGCUACUUCGUAUCGUCAAGAACAGACGAGAGUCAUUCUUGCAGACAAGCAACUUUCCUGGAAAAAAGUUCUUUUUUUUCUUUCCUGGACAAUGAAAAGUCUACAGUUAACGGUAUGUGUCCUUACGAACCUGCCAGACUCUCCCGUUCAAGUCAUUGUUUGAGCUAUGUUCAUAACUUUAACACCGCUCAUUUGGCAGACGAGUGCAUGAUCACGUCUGCUAAAAGCUUGUCAACUAAUAAAGGAAACAAAAGCAAGGCCGUUGAGGUGAAAGGUCAGACGAAGAAAACAUCCGGUGUAGUCAAAAAACUGAAGGGCUCCAAACGCCAAAGAAAGAAAAAUAAAAAGAAAAAAUUGGGAAAGAAAAAAAAGCGAAGCUGACGAGAGACACGCAGAGGAUUCUGGUCUUGUUCUUAUUGCAAAGCAAGUUUCUGUAUUCUGCUAACAUCUCAUCGUGUGGUAAUACAUGGGACUCAAUAUUAGUCAUCGAUGUCUCUUUCCAUCAUCCUGGUCAUCGAUGAAUCAUCAUUCAUUUGAGUAUUGAGCUAAAGAAUCGGACAUGAAUUUUCGUUGAAUUCUAUGGAUGAUUGCAAUUUACCAAGUUUGGAAACUAAAUUCCAUCAUUAUACCUACAUGGCAUUUUCCACAUAUUUAAAAUUCCAUUAUUUCAUUUUUUUAGAGUGUAAUUUCUUGAAAUUAUGAAAAGUUGAUCUAUAAAUGACAAACCUAUGUUCGAUAAUUGACGUAGGCUACAUUUUACUAACUGCUCUUUCCUUGGUGCUUUUGUCGACGUCUCUUAUUCUGCUUGAUUUCGUCUGUAACUUCUCUCAACAACUUUGAGCAUUAACUUUGUUGUACUAGACACUAAUGUUGGGAGGUUCGAAUGGAAUGAAUCUAGCAUGAAUUCUUAACGAAACACGGUUCAAGUAAAAAACAAAUUAAAUAAAGGAGCCGUCUAGGGGACUUAAUCAUGAAAUACUGAUUGUUAUAUACACUGACCGAACAAUCAAUGCAAUCAUUGGUGAUUAAAUGGACAAAUUUCCUUAAAAAGAUAGUAGUCUACAAUAUGUAUAAGUCAUUAAAGUGAAACCUGUCUUUAUGUAUCAAUAUGAUAACAUCGCUACACUUAACCAAUCUAGGAGUAGUUCGUAUAUUAUUGUGUUUUAUUUUUAUUACUUUUUUUUUAUUUAUUUUGUUUUGUAGAACUAUAAACAACUUGUUUUUAAAAUCAAUAUCAAGGUCAGCAAAAUGGAGGUACACUAACCACACCCAUAAAUAUGCAAUACAACCAAUAAACUUACUUACUUACAGAUAUCACCCUUAUUUGAGUAUGGGCCGCCAACAUUAGAUAUCCAUAGUCCCAAUGUCCUGGAGCAUGCUUUCCUUCCUGUUUCAUGUGUAACCAAACUUUAAUUUGUCUGCCUUUAGCGAACUCGAGGCUAACCAAUAAAAGAACGAAACGAAAGUAAUAGGCCUAAUAAUAAUAGGAAUACGAUUCUGUCUUUUCUAUGCAUUUCUUAUCAUUUGUUCUCAUGAUAUUGUUAUUAGUUGUAUUGCUUCUAUUAAACGCAAGACCUGCGGGUGGGGUGGGGCCCUACUAUGCCAAGACUAAAUACCACAAGACGGCUUCUCGUCACCACCUCGUAGAAAACCCUACUAGGAAAAGUAACGCAGUGUAAAUCUGGAACACACACACACACAUAGCCUACACCUUUCAUCAGGAAUUAUCAUAUAUUUGUUGGUAGAAAAAUAAUUGGUUUCGAAUAAACAAUGAGGUUUAGCAUGACAAAACUUUUUUUUUUUUUUUGCUGGGAAUAAACUAUCAAGUUUUAGAUGACAAAACUUUACGCUCGCGAUAAACAGGUUUAACAAAACAGAAACCCAAACGGAAUAAACGCCCGAAUAUGAAACAUUUCACAGGGGCGUAGCAUCCAUGGCGUAAGGACUGGAUUUGUUGUUUUUUUUUUUGUCACUAAGCCUUCAUAUCAUAUUCUUGAACCCGGGCCCACGGGUACAUUAUAAAUAUAACCACUACACUAUAAGAUGAUAACCACUAGACCAGUGAUGCCUUACCUAAUUCAAUCUGCGGGCCACGUGAUGGAAAAGAUACAAAAACUUAAUGAAAUUGACCUGAAACCCGAGGAUCUAGUACUCACAUUGAAUUAUUGGGAUAGUUGAAUUUUCUCUUUACACUUCAAAAAAUGUAGUAAGUUCUGUUUAUAAUUUAUUGUUCUUUUAAAAAAAACAACAGCCAGACUUUCUUUAUAAAAACAAACAUGUUGGCUAGCAAUGGUAUCAUGUUCUACAAAGAAAUAAAGAUCCGUACACUUUUCCUAGUAGAUUCUAUAGUCCUAUUUCAUGAACGCACAAAUGUGAAAUGCCUUGGUAGAAGAAAGUGAAUACUCUACGUAGCCGUUUCGGCGGGCCGGAUGGAAGAACGUGCGGCCCGCGGGCCGUAUUUUGGGCAUCACUGCACUAGACUAUAAGAUGAUAUGACACUUGUGAGGCUAGUCCUUGACAAACCAGUUCUAUCCGGUGUAAAAUGGCACACCAGCAAGAAUAAGCACCCAAUAAGACAUCACCUGAGCAUAAGUAGACACUAGACUAUAACAUUGUCCUCCUAAUUGUCAGGUACUUAUUGACUAACCAGCUGUGUAGUCCACCAUCCGCUUACACUGUUGUGUGUUAAGUCUAUUAGAUGAAUGGAGAUAAAGUAACUGUUCCAACUGAAUUAUUCAAAGACCAAAUGAGCAGUGAACAAGGGAGACUAUUGACUGAAACUUCUUUUUAGUAGUAUGUGAUGUCCCUCCUUGCAAUUAUUUAAAACACUUAUUAUGUAAGUUUAAACUCAAAAACAGGUUUUGUUUUGACUUUGUGUUAUUUGUAUUUUUUUUUGUCAAAGUAAAUAAGCUUGAGGAAUAUUUCCCUGUCUAAUGAGCAGGUCACAUUGGUCUGCCAGCAAAUGUUUUUCCGAUUUCCCAUUGAUCUUAUCAAUGUUGUUGUUUGAAGAUAUUAUUGCUUACCUUUAUUUUCUGUUUUCAGAUGUGAUAUUUUGUAGACUUUUAUACAAUGAUAUCUUGAGAAAAUAAAACUUUGGCUGUCAGGUCAAGCCAUGCUUGUUUUGGUCA
Biomphalaria glabrata is the source of this 3455-nucleotide long non-coding RNA. RefSeq lists it as uncharacterized. The record is from RefSeq and is a predicted model, not a curated record. The transcript has 3 exons. Lineage: Eukaryota; Metazoa; Mollusca; Gastropoda; Planorbidae.